AUCCAUCGAUAUUCAUUUCUCAACUAAGUAGCAAAGUAGGGAUUAGGGUCGAGAACCGGUACCAUAAGUUAAGAAGUUGAUUAAAUGACUAUUGUAUAGUUUUCUGAAAUGUGUGACUAUAAGAUACUUAAGAAGAAUAUCAUAAUUUCAUAUAAUCCAUAAUCCAUUAAAGUUGAAGUACACCUUAAAACCAAGAUUGAAAUGUCUAAAAAGAACAGUCGUUACUUGCUCU
Molecule: long non-coding RNA, 232 nt
Filed under: Brassica rapa (field mustard)
Lineage: Eukaryota; Viridiplantae; Streptophyta; Magnoliopsida; Brassicales; Brassicaceae
Description: long non-coding RNA (BRAP_LNC007082)
Source: RNAcentral